Pecten maximus is the source of this 253-nucleotide long non-coding RNA. RefSeq lists it as uncharacterized. The transcript has 2 exons. Lineage: Eukaryota; Metazoa; Mollusca; Bivalvia; Pectinida; Pectinidae. The record is from RefSeq and is a predicted model, not a curated record.
GGUGCGUAAUACGGUCAAGGUCAAUUUUGAUCUGUUUAAGUUAUCUGCCUAUUUUGAUCUUCUAUUUCUAGACCAUAUUUUUACCAAAGGUUUUGCCCACCUCCAUCCCCUUUCCUGCCUCCUUUUAUGAUUGAUAUAUAUACAGUGCACUCUGUCUAAACCGGACACCUUUUGGACCAGUAAAUAAGGCCGGUUUGUAGAGAGUUCCGGAUUGUAGAGAUUCUACUUGAUAUCGUCGUUGAAUGCAAAAAAA